RNAcentral lists this ribosomal RNA (432 nucleotides) under uncultured bacterium. RNAcentral's name for it is "partial 16S ribosomal RNA". It matches the Rfam family "Bacterial small subunit ribosomal RNA", at positions 29 to 506 of the family's 1533-position model. The record is from RNAcentral.
AGCGAACGCUGGCGGCAGGCCUAACACAUGCAAGUCGAACGAACUCUUCGGAGUUAGUGGCGGACGGGUGAGUAACACGUGGGAACGUGCCUUUAGGUUCGGAAUAACUCAGGGAAACUUGUGCUAAUACCGAAUGUGCCCUUCGGGGGAAAGAUUUAUCGCCUUUAGAGCGGCCCGCGUCUGAUUAGCUAGUUGGUGAGGUAAAGGCUCACCAAGGCGACGAUCAGUAGCUGGUCUGAGAGGAUGAUCAGCCACAUUGGGACUGAGACACGGCCCAAACUCCUACGGGAGGCAGCAGUGGGGAAUCUUGCGCAAUGGGCGAAAGCCUGACGCAGCCAUGCCGCGCGAAUGAUGAAGGUCUUAGGAUUGUAAAAUUCUUUCACCGGGGACGAUAAUGACGGUACCCGGAGAAGAAGCCCCGGCUAACUUCGU